GAUGAAGAACGCAGCGAAAUGCGAUAAGUAAUGUGAAUUGCAGAAUUCAGUGAAUCAUCGAAUCUUUGAACGCAUCUUGCGCUCCUUGGUAUUCCGAGGAGCAUGCCUGUUUGAGUGUCAUUUAACUUCUCAACCACAUUGGAUAUUUUUUUUCCGAUGCCGGCUUGGAUGUGGGGGUUGUUUGCAGGCUUUUUGUAACAAAAAAGGUCGGCUCCCCUGAAAUGUAUUAGUGGUAUCUGAGGCUAUUACUAUUAGGUGUGAUAAUUAUCUAUGCCUUUUGGGUAUGCCGCAUGAACAGAUUAUGCUGCUUCUAACGAAAACUAUUUUGAUGAAUUUGACCUCAAAUCAGGUAGGAAUACCCGCUGAACUUAAGCAUAUCAAUAAGCGGAGGA
This 392-nucleotide unclassified non-coding RNA is filed under the name soil metagenome. Its description in RNAcentral is "partial contains 5.8S ribosomal RNA, internal transcribed spacer 2, and large subunit ribosomal RNA". The stretch from base 1 to 120 matches the Rfam family "5.8S ribosomal RNA", at positions 35 to 154 of the family's 154-position model. The record is from RNAcentral.